AGCAGCCGCGGUAAUUCCAGCUCCAAUAGCGUAUAUUAAAGUUGUUGCAGUUAAAAAGCUCGUAGUUGAAUUUCGGGGUCAGUAGGUUGGUCGUGCCACUGGUACGUACUGGUCUCACUGAUUCCUCCUUCCUGAUGAACCGUAAUGCCAUUAAUUUGGUGUUGCGGGGAAACUGGACUGUUACUUUGAAAAAAUUGAGUGUUUAAAGCAGGCUAACGCUUGAAUACAUUAGCAUGGAAUAAUGAAAUAGGACGUUCGAUCCUAUUUUGUUGGUUUCUAGGAUUGACGUAAUGAUUAAUAGGGAUAGUUGGGGGCAUUAGUAUUCAAUUGUCAGAGGUGAAAUUCUUGGAUUUAUUGAAGACUAACUACUGCGAAAGCAUUUGCCAGGAUGUUUUCAUUAAUCAAGGACGAAAGUUAGGGGAUCGAAGACGAUCAGAUACCGUCGUAGUCUUAACCAUAAACUNUGCCGACUAGGGAUCGGAUGAUGUUAUUUUUAUGACUCAUUCGGCGCCUUACGGGA
RNAcentral lists this ribosomal RNA (520 nucleotides) under uncultured Glomus. RNAcentral describes it as "SSU rRNA". It matches the Rfam family "Eukaryotic small subunit ribosomal RNA", at positions 569 to 1095 of the family's 1831-position model. The record is from RNAcentral. Lineage: Eukaryota; Fungi; Glomeromycota; Glomeromycetes; Glomerales; Glomeraceae.